CGUCCCCGGACGUUGCUCUCUGCCCCGGGAACGUCGAGACUGGAGC
RNAcentral lists this microRNA precursor (46 nucleotides) under Vulpes vulpes (red fox). RNAcentral describes it as "miRNA (ENSVVUG00000028617.1)". Lineage: Eukaryota; Metazoa; Chordata; Mammalia; Carnivora; Canidae. The record is from RNAcentral.